Molecule: small RNA, 27 nt
Filed under: Bombyx mori (domestic silkworm)
Lineage: Eukaryota; Metazoa; Arthropoda; Insecta; Lepidoptera; Bombycidae
Description: ovarian small RNA-2587
Source: RNAcentral
CCCGGAGGGAACCGACGAUGGAGUGUA